Molecule: ribosomal RNA, 1935 nt
Filed under: Triticum aestivum (bread wheat)
Lineage: Eukaryota; Viridiplantae; Streptophyta; Magnoliopsida; Poales; Poaceae
Description: partial small subunit ribosomal RNA
Source: RNAcentral
AUGGUAGCAACAACUUGGAGCCGCCGGUCGUUGACGAUGACUAACAUAUUGCUCAUUCUACGAUACCCAAAAGUGCAGACGUUGACUACCCGAGCGGUGCACGGCAAGAUGAUGAGCACGAGGGCCAAGUCGGACGACGUCUACUUUGACACUGUCCGGCUAGUUUCACAGUUCGGCGGCCCAUAUGCUAGUAACCGGUUCCGGCACAGUAGGAGGUCACGGCUGGGUGCAGCAAGCUUCCCCUGCUAUGUGACGACGACGGCGACGACGGCGACGUCACGGGUGGAUGUGCAGGGGAACUGCACGAAGACGUCCCUUUUCUGUGACAUCCUUCGUGCCAAUGAACACGGCGUGCUCGCCGUCGUCCCCAACUGGAACUACGACUCCACCGAAGAGACCGUCCCCAACUGGAACUACGACUCCACCGAAGAGUUCUGCAGUGGACUAGGACCGUUCGUCGUGAACACGACGAACAUGGCAUUCACGGAUUUUGCCAUCCUGAUGCAAGCCCUCCGGUGCGGGACGACGAGCGGACUGGACGGCAAGGCGGUCGUGCUGGUGACGGCCUUGUUCCGUGUCGUGCCGCCGUGGGAGGAUCGGGAAAUGGCGGUGAAGCAUGCUGGGCUGAGCGACAUGACGCUGUCGGCCGAGGGCGUGCCAUACAUUUCCAUGUACGUUCCCACCACCCGCCGCGACAUCCUGAUGGGGCAGAUAACCUCCAUGGACGGCAGCCACUUCCCGUUGUCAUGCCGACGAGGAUUGCAUCCCCGAGAGGGCUGCAACAAGGUUGGCCGCCCCGACGAGUGGUUGCGCAUGACGUACAACUACAAGAAGGUCGGGCAGGCCAUGGAGCUUCUCCGACGGACCAAGACGUCCAGAAUCUCCAGCAAACUAGUUUCCAUGUCUCCGAUAAGCUAUCCGAGGAAACGCGCCGGCCAUGAUGACACGGCGAGCCUCUCUGAAGAUCUGCACCUCCGUUUCCGGGCCGGGCCAGAAUGGAUCAUGAAGGGAGGACAAUCCUCUGAGCGCUUCUUUGAAUUGCAAAUAAUCUCGAUUGGUCCGCUCGUAGGCUACGUGCCCCAGCCAAGCAUGUCGGUAGCACAAGAUCAAGAUGGUAUGGGCGACCAUGGCGUGGAGCGGCAGGAACUUCUAAACGUGUCCGCUGCGUUCACGGUGUCCGAAAGUUUCUUUGGGCCGCGCUCGGUGAUGUCGCUGGAGGGCGUGUACAACCCGGAGGACGGGCGGAUGCACCUGGUCGGCUGCCAAGGCGUCGAGGCCCCAUGGCAGAUCAUGUCAAAGAUGAGAGGCCUUCGAAACAGCUCCAUCGAGUUGGAGGUGCAGUACCCGCCGACGAGGAUGCGGUGGCUCUUCAGCCCGUCAGCGAAGGUCCACCUGUCCAGCACAAGGGCCACCGGCGACCCGCUGUACUUCAACAGGACCGAGCUCCUAGAGCACCCCUCCUAUUAUGCCCGGGAGAUGUCGAACAGAUUCAUGGAGCAGAAGGGGGUCGUCUGCCUCGCCAUGCUAUCGGCCACCAUCGCUGCCGCCUUACGCCAGCUGAGCUACAUGGAGUCCCACCCGGACACCGUGCCGUACAUCUCCCUCGCCAUGCUCGGCGCCCAGGCGCUCUGCUACGGCGCGGCGCUGGUCACCGACGCCAGUAUCCUACUUGCGUGGCGAAGGACGUCCGACGGCGACGGCAACUACAGGAUGCAGGUCCGGGGCCUGCACUGGGACAUGGACUGCUCCGUGAAAGCCCUCGCCCUCGCGGCGCUCCUCCUCACGCUGCGCCUGGCGCACAAGGUGCGGCGGUCCAGGGUCCGCGUGCCGCUCGAGCCAGGCGCGGCCUCCUAUUCACCUCACGUCGACCAAGCCGCCGCCGCAUGUGGCGUACACCCAGCAAGCACAGGGCCAGGGAGAGUCCUAUACCCAUAG